GCCUCUUGAAUCACUAUAAGAGGUCCAGCCUGCCCAGUGACCCUGUUCAACGGCCGCGGUAUCCUAACCGUGCGAAGGUAGCGUAAUCACUUGUUCUCUAAAUGUGGACUAGUAUGAAUGGCAUCACGAAGGUUAUACUGUCUCCUUUUUCUAAUCAGUGAAACUAAUCUCCCCGUGAAGAAGCGGGGAUAGCACUAUAAGACGAGAAGACCCUAUGGAGCUUUAAACAACGCAGCAUCUGCCCCACAAUACUAGAAUUUCUGAAUUAAAACUUCCCUGGACAGUAUGACUGCAAGUUUUUGGUUGGGGUGACCACGGAGCAUAAUAUAACCUCCAUGCUGAAAGAAUCUUUCUAAGCUAAGAACCACAAAUCCAAGCAUCAAUAAAUUGACAUCCAUUGACCCAAUACACUUGAACAACGAACCAAGUUACCCUAGGGAUAACAGCGCAAUCCACUUCAAAAGCUCUUAUCGACAAGUGGGUUUACGACCUCGAUGUUGGAUCAGGGUCUCCCAGUGGUGCAGCCGCUACUAAAGGUUCGUUUGUUCAACGAUUAAAACCCUACGUG
RNAcentral lists this ribosomal RNA (568 nucleotides) under Bufo gargarizans (Asiatic toad). Its description in RNAcentral is "partial 16S ribosomal RNA". It matches the Rfam family "Bacterial large subunit ribosomal RNA", at positions 1820 to 2602 of the family's 2925-position model. Lineage: Eukaryota; Metazoa; Chordata; Amphibia; Anura; Bufonidae. The record is from RNAcentral.